CGAGGUUAGCCGGGCCGCGGCCGGGGGAGGAGGGGCGCCGAAGCCGGUCAGACGGGCUCGGCCCGGGGUGACCCCGGGGUGACCCCGCGGCUCCCACCUAGGGUCUCCAUCCCGGACCUGACACCCGGGCCGGCGUCGCAGGCAGCGCCUGGGGUCCCAGCGGGUGAAGACGGCGCGGCGCACGCUUGGCCCGGCCCGGGGGACGGCGCCACCCGCGAGUCCCACGCACCCCCAGAGCCGCCGGUAGUUCCGGCAGGACCGCCCGAAACGCCCCCCGCCCCGGCGCCCUAAGACCGAGCGAAGGCAAACGGAGGCACAACACUGACAAAGGCGUCGCUCUCCUUCCUCAUUUCACCUCGCCCCGUGCCUCACCUCCCACCCCGAGUGUGCCCUGUGACUGCUGAAGGCUGGCCGGUCACCGCGACUUCGGUACCCAAAUCCACCCGCGCAGAGAUCCCAGCGCUCCACCCCCCGCCCUACGCCUGACCCCAUCCCAAGCCACGGUCAGGGUCCCCAGCCUCAUACCUAGUUCCCGGAGCUCCUCCACUUCCCCUGGCUCUCUAGGUCUUCAGGACCAAUCGACCCCCCAAACCAAAAUCUCCCUUAAUCCCCCCAACUUCUGAGAAGUCGCGCACAGCGGUCCCGAGUGGCCCCUCUCGCGUGGCUCCCGUAUCCUCUAUGCCCUUCCCCGUCGGGGCCACGCGGUUCCCCACGGCCCACGUGGCCCCCGCCCCCCAAGGGAGGGGGGAUUUCGGGGGUUGCCCGUGACGUGGCUACUUGCGCAGCGGAAGCGGCGUGUGUAAGUGUAAGGGAGGGGGGGGGUCCUUCGGGAGGGAGGAGGGCGGGGCCCGACAGGCGGUGACAUCACCCUUGUCCCACUCUCACCGCCCACUCCCUUAAAGAACCCAGAACCCGUUUCACUUCCUCCUUCGCGCCCCCCCACCCAGCCCCUUCCCGUCGGUGCCGCCUCGACCCAAGACGGGCGCAGCGCCCCAGUUCUGGGCACCUCUCCUUCGGCCCCAGUUCUUCCUUGUCGCCUCUCUGAGCCCAAGAUCCCCGUCCCCUCGCCUCUUCCUCGCCUACCCGGCGUCCCCGCAGGGCAGGGUGGUCUGUUUACGCGCAAAGCAGCCGAACCCUACAGGUCGCGGCGCGCCACUCCCCGCCGGGCUCUGCGGACCCCGUCCGCGGCUCUAGCGGAGUUUUCUACGCGAACUCUCUCUGCUCACCACACAGACUUUCGGUCAGUUGCCAAGCCCUGGGACGAGUAGAGCGCUUGAGUGCGGUCUAAGGGUAGCCCUGGCCACAUUCUCCCACCCAAGUCCGAGAACACGCAUGGGGAAACGGGGAGGGGCGGUCCGGGGGUCCGGGCACCGGAGGAUCAAUCCCCGUUUGCGAAGCGGUGCCGAGAGCGCUGCCAGUUACCAGGAAAUGCAGCUUCCCCUUAUGCGAUGAUGACACUUCCCCUCCACCACUUCCCCUUUCCCACGGGGAACUGACUCAGCUUUCCCUAAAGCAGUGAGUCCCGUCCCUCCAGCCCCUUUCCACCUUUGUCCACAACCCCCCACGCCGGUACUCAGAGUACAGCUGCCCUCACUGGGGAAAAAAACUUCCUGUGCACUAAAUACACAUUCACUCUCGCCAACCACCUCGGAUCCACCGGGACCCAGGCGCCUGACUCCCCAUCCGCCCCCCGUACAAAGCCCUCCCUCGGGGUCUGAUUCAGGCUUGGGGUGGGAGAGCGUGAGUCACUCACAAAACCUUCCCCUAUUCCCACUGACUCAGCCCUCGCCUCCCUGAACACACACAGACACACAGUCAGAGGCAGACACAACUCAGCCCACACACCGCUCACCACCGGUCCCGCGGAAUUUCCCCUCCCGUCUUCCCCCACGACGAGCCGCCCCCACCCCGCGCCCGCCAGCCUCGACGCCGCGUUCACACCUGUUCCCCCGGCGCCAGCUCGCGGGCCACUCUCACCUCCACUCUCGCUUUGGGGCAGGAGUAGCCCUCCCCGACUCCCGGUGUCCGUACUAGCCAAGGGGAGGGGACAACCAUGGGCAGCAGGCACAAAGACAGGCACCCGCAGACUCCCUGAAGGAAGGUGAGGGGGAGGCGCACGCGGCCGCAGCCAGGCUGGGAGGACGGUAUACUUCUGGGGCAGACAUUCCUUCCCGGCCUCGCCCGCCCCACAGUCCCCGGGGCCAGCCGCCCAGAAAGGGUUAAUUCUUCUCCUGCCGAGACCACGCCCUCUCCAUCCGGGCACUCCCGGCUAAGCUCAGCUCCGCCCCUUCCAUCCGGGAUCUGGACUCGGGGACUUUAACCGACCCCCUCCGCGGGAGCCCCGAGAGAGACCCACUCCAUUAAUCACACCCACUUAACCCUCUCCCGGCUCCAGGCCUGAGGAGCCCCCCGCGCGCGGGACGCAGGCGAAGGGGCCAGACGCGCGCACGAAGACCCCCGUGCCGGCCGCAGGCGAGACCCC
Molecule: long non-coding RNA, 2482 nt
Organism: Suricata suricatta (meerkat)
Lineage: Eukaryota; Metazoa; Chordata; Mammalia; Carnivora; Herpestidae
Source: Ensembl